AUUGAACGCUGGCGGCAGGCCUAACACAUGCAAGUCGAACGAGUGGCGGACGGGUGAGUAAUGGCUGGGAAACUGCCUGAUGUAGGGGGAUAACUACUGUAAACGGUAGCUACUACCGCAUACCAUCAGAUGUGCCCAGAUGGGAUUAGCUUGUUGCUGGGGUAACGGCUCACCAAGGCGACGCUCCCUAGCUGGUCUGAGAGGAUGACCAGCCACACGGGAACUGAGACACGGUCCAGACGACUACGGGAGGCAGCAGUGGGGAAUAUUGCACAAUGGGCGAAAGCCUGAUGCAGCAAUGCCGCGUGGAUGAAGAAGGCUUUCGGGUUGUAAAGUACUGUCAGCGGGGAGGCGUUACCCGCAGAAGAAGCACCGGCUAACUCCGUGCCAGCAGCCGCGGUAAUAC
RNAcentral lists this ribosomal RNA (406 nucleotides) under uncultured bacterium. RNAcentral's name for it is "partial 16S ribosomal RNA". It matches the Rfam family "Bacterial small subunit ribosomal RNA", at positions 30 to 526 of the family's 1533-position model. The record is from RNAcentral.